GUGCCAGCAGCCGCGGUAAUACCGGCAGCUCAAGUGAUGUCCCAUAUUAUUGGGCCUAAAGCGUCCGUAGCUGGCCGACCAAGUCUCCCGGGAAAUCCACCCGCCCAACGGGUGGGCGUCCGGUAGAAACUGGCCGGCUUGGAACCGGAAGGCUCAGAGAGUACGUCCGGGGUAGGAGUGAAAUCCCGUAAUCCUGGACGGACUACCGAUGGCGAAAGCACUUCAGGAGCACGGAUCCGACAGUGAGGAACGAAAGCUGGGGUCUCGAACCGGAUUAGAUACCCGAGUAGUCC
Molecule: ribosomal RNA, 293 nt
Filed under: uncultured bacterium
Lineage: Bacteria
Description: partial 16S ribosomal RNA
Rfam family: Archaeal small subunit ribosomal RNA
Source: RNAcentral